AAAUUAGGCAAAGAAAUAACAAGUGGGUCCCAAGCAGUUGGACGUGGGAUCGACCGGGAUCACAAAGACACUCCUUAUGUACAUGGUAGGCCCUUCUCAAUAAACUACCUACAAUAGACAAUAUGAAAAGAAGAGGUAUCUAUCAUGUUAAUCGAUGCUCCCUUUGUUUGCAACAAGAAGAAACUGUUGACCACCUUUAUUUUGCUUGUAAUUAUACAAAAUGGAUAUGGAAGGAGAUUCUCCAGCGAUUUGAACUCAAUAGACUGCCGCAACCAAACUUGCACCAAAAACUAGGCGACCUUAUGCAAUGUUUCUCAAGAAAAGGGCCUCUUACACAACUG
This 341-nucleotide long non-coding RNA is filed under the name Musa acuminata (dwarf banana). RNAcentral describes it as "long non-coding RNA (MACU_LNC011152)". Lineage: Eukaryota; Viridiplantae; Streptophyta; Magnoliopsida; Zingiberales; Musaceae. The record is from RNAcentral.